ACCUAUUUAUCUUUUCUCUCAAAUUUCUGACCAUAUUUCUUAUUUUCCUCAGAAUUUCAGGCGCUAAAAAAACCACAGAAGAGUCGCGUCUUUUCAAUUGCCUCCGUUUAUUAAAAGAGGAAAGAAAUGAGCAGUCACGUCUUAACUUUUCUGAAUUGCCUCCGUCUCUUCUUCUUCUUCCUCCCAGCAAAGAUUGAUGUUAUGUCUUUCGCGAUUCAUAUCCAUGGCUAUCAUUGUUGGAGCCAGCGUGAUCAGCGGUACUACAUAGGGUUGACAGAUAUACAAGCAGAAACGAGGCAAUUCUCCGCUCCUAAACAAGGUAUUCAAUUCUUAACUCCCUUUUAAUUCUCUGCUUUUGCCACAACUGAAUCGACCUCUUUGUCCUAACGCUUUGCAAGAUUCUUACUGGAUAUGCCCAGCGGUUGGAUAUAGUUGGCAUCUCUUUCUCUGAUCGCCGCAAAAUAUGGUACCUGCAUCUACUCGCAUUUUUUUUUUAAGUCAUUAAAAAAUUUCAAUCCUCCUCAAAAUUAACAAAAGAUAGGUUUGUUCUUUUACUAGUUUUACUCUGUAAAGAACUUCUUUUAAACAGGAUUUUCUUGUACUUUUGGGAAGAUAUUAGGAUAGCAAGUAAAGAAACUAAUGAACUUUUAAAGCAGAUCGGAGAAGUAAGUCGAGCAAGUAAAAAUGUGGUCCUUUGUCGUUACGUGGUUAUAUAUUGCACUAUGGUUUAGUUUUAUGUAGGGAUUAUUGACCAAGAAAAAGAGAAUGCUUCUUUCUUUCUGUUCUUAUGCGGUCUCUUCUUUAGGGGCAGAGUUGAUGGAGGAGAUACCUUACUUUGACCAUAAGUCUGAAUAGAAAAAAAGAAGAAGAUCCUUUUCAAUGGAGAAACGUAUGUGUUGUUUACUGCUGCCUUCAGAAGACAAAGUCUUUUACUUUCGUUCUGUUGAAAUACAAAUUAUCUCCUAAUUGAGCAACAACUUACUUUGGUUAACUUACUAUAGAUGGAGAAUAUUGUAUGUUCUUAUAUCAAAUCCUCUCUAGUUAGACCCACAUUUUAAUACAUGUAAAAGUUUUUCUAUUAGAGUACGAAAAAAAAAGAAUGUGCUUCAUUAAGUCAUUCCACUAAACUAAUCUUUAUUGAUUGAGCUUUUCCAGUCUCGGUUUGAAAGCCUUGACAGCUCAGAUUACGUAGUUCGUUGCCAUUGCUAUAGGAAAGAACUCGUAUUUACACGGAAUCAUCAACUGUAGAUCUGAAAAUCCCAAGAUUUGUGUAUCGAGAUGCUUAUUAAAAGAGAGUUAUCAUCGAGGUGUUGGUUCCAGAUGACUAACCCUUAUUUUGGAUAAGAUCCUGAAUUCCCUAUGACGGGCUAUCUCUUUGAGUCACAUUUUUCUCCCCUAUACUUUGUAUACAUUAUGUUACUGCAGUAGAAGAAUCCUACAUUCUGUAUUGUUACCAUAGUAAAUGGAACAACUGCAAAUAUCAUUAGUUUCAUCUCUAAGUAGGUGAACUGUUCUGCUGCCAAACGUAGAUGGUUUAGGUUGGUGAUGUGUUAUACAUUGUUGAAAUUGGAUCCUUUUGGAUCUGAAAUCUUCAGAUGGUCACUGUUUAGAUUUAUCUAUGUUUGAUUGAAAAAAACUGUAGAAGAGAUAUCUUCCUUUUCAGGGCCAUUCGGCGAUUCAAUAGAUGAUACAUUGAAGAUCAAAACCUCCAGGUUAGAUGAUUGUAUUGAAUUUCUAUCCUAAUUUUGAGAAAAUUUCUCCUCAUAUUGAAAUUUUAUUGGAUUAUACAGUUUGAUGAUUUUUUUGCCCGGGCACAACAGAACAGGCUAGCUGCACGUCAGACAGAACCGGGCAAAGCCAGGUUUUGUAUCGAAGCAUCCAGUGGAUAAUCAUGAGAAGGAUUAAAAAAAGCUUCUACUUAUUGUAGGUGUCUCUUGGAAACAAGAAAAAUAGAGAUGUGAUUCGCAAGGCAUGGAUGCCUACUGGUGUGGCUCUCUUUUCCCCUCCCCCUUUUUCCUAUUAUCUUUUGGUGGCCUUGUGAAGCUAAAAUUUAGCAACUCCACUAAGAUGCUGAAGAAAUAUUUCAGCUCACCUUACUGAUUCAAUCAUUGUCUGUUGAACACAUUUAGACUUUGGUUGCUAUUGAAUUCCCUAGCAACAUCAUUGGUCUUGUCUUAAUCCAAAGUUUCAUCAGUAUUAACUGCUAUCACUCUGAAUUCAACUUUUGAAUAACUGAUUUCAUUCUAAAUCUCUAAGCUUAUUUUGGCAAGUGCUGCUCUUAAAAAAUUAGAGGAGAAAGGUAUCGUAAUCAUUUCAUGGAAGCUACAGACUCUGAAGUUCAAGCAAAUAAACAAAGAGCUCACAGGUACAUGUUGAAAUGCCUAUAAUUUGGGAAGUCGCCGAAGAAUAAUGUUAUUGAUCGAAGAUGAACAGAGGUACAAGAAUUCUAGGCUGAGAAGUAAGAAGCACAGACGAAGCCAAUGUGAUCCCCAAGACAAAGAUAGUAACUUCAUUGCAUAGAAUAUAUAGUUGCACCUUAUCCGACAACAUCAACUUUCUUUAUAGCACACAUAUUUUAACGGAUAUAGUUCAACCAUUGUCCUCUGUUACUAAGUUGGCUUCAGAAUCAAAGACAUAAGUGUACCUUCUUUUUGGUCAACAUAAUUGUACUUAAUUCCUGCACUUAUUGAUAUUGUCUCUAUAUAACUUAAUGUUUAGUGCCA
Lycium ferocissimum is the source of this 2723-nucleotide long non-coding RNA. RefSeq lists it as uncharacterized. The record is from RefSeq and is a predicted model, not a curated record. The transcript is spliced from 2 exons. Lineage: Eukaryota; Viridiplantae; Streptophyta; Magnoliopsida; Solanales; Solanaceae.